This 30-nucleotide small RNA is filed under the name Arabidopsis thaliana (thale cress). RNAcentral's name for it is "ATSL228380". The record is from RNAcentral. Lineage: Eukaryota; Viridiplantae; Streptophyta; Magnoliopsida; Brassicales; Brassicaceae.
UAAAGAAGACUAUGAUCUGUGCACCAUCUG